RNAcentral lists this unclassified non-coding RNA (236 nucleotides) under uncultured Basidiomycota. RNAcentral describes it as "partial internal transcribed spacer 2". The record is from RNAcentral. Lineage: Eukaryota; Fungi; Basidiomycota.
AAUCAUCAACUCUAAAAGCUUUUGUGGUUUUUUUGAGCUUGGUCUUGAGGGUUUUUGUAGGCCUCACGGUCUGCUCCCUUUAAAUGCAUUAGCGAGACUUCCCUGUGCUGAACUGUCUCCUUGACGUGAUAAUUAUCUACGUUGAGUUUGGUUCUCGUUGGGCUUGCUUCUAAUCGUCCGAUAUUUGGACACACCAGGAAACCAAGUGCAAUAUAUGCGCCUAUUUCCAAACCUUU